UGGCACAUAGGCACUCAAAAUAAAUUAAACUGUGGCAUAGGAACGAGCAGCUCAGCAUUCUAGGGGGUUGUGUGACCGGGAGCCCUGGACCAGGCGCUAACCUGAGGAGAGGAUACAGGAGAAGGCCUCGCUAGGAGAGCUCUUGUGGAAGGAACGUUGGCCUGGGAGAACCAGAUGCACGAGGGCUAAGGCCUGGGGAGGCGCCAGAUAAAUCCGGUUUCCGCGCGCGGACUCCCUGAGGCUCCAAAAACCACGUUCCGCGCACAGUCAGCUAGUUCUCCCGCCAUAGCCAAAGUCGAAAUGCCGGGGACCCCCCCCCACCCCUCUCCGCCCCGCUCCCUCUCCUCCCCUCUCGGCCCGGAACUUCCCUGGGAUUGGUUGCCUACCCCACGGCCCUCCUCCCGUCCCGCCCCCUCCCCAAUCGUCCCGGGGAUUGGCUGCCCGCUCCGCAGCCCUCCAGGUCCCGCCCCACCUGCUGUGUCUCCGCGGUCGUGGGUCUCUUUGUCCUACGGAGUUGGGCGGGCGCAGCCGCGGCUACUUUGCAGCGGGUUCGGGCCAGGCCCAGCCUGCGGCGGCAACAGCGGGUCUCGGACCGACCGUGAGCCUGGGGACUUUGUCUCCAACGACUGCGGGUGCAGCGGCCUGAGUUCUAAGCGCAGGAGAUGAGUAUACAUCAACAUUUUUAGAAGAAAACGUACAUUGUCACCUUGCUGGGAGAGGCCUUAGGAAGUACUGCUAACCAUCUACCCUGUCAUCAGAAUAGAAGUCCUCCUGGAUUCACGUGAGAUACCAAGCUAGAUCCAUAUCAUCACCCCCCCGCCCCAGGACAAUUAGAAGGCCAUCCCUAUGCGUGACCUCAAAUUGAGGAUUUCAAGAGCUUACUCAGGCUCCAGAAGCAGACGACACCACGAAGUAGACAGCUUUACCCAAGAUCUCCGAUCAAGAAUUUUGUCUCCAUUUAUCUUCCCUUGCAACCUCUGCCUGACCUGCAAAAUUCUCUGACCUAGAAAUUUAAACAAAACCCUUCCUCUUUCAGUUACAGAAGGACUGACUGGAGGUUGCUUGUCUAAACCUAUCCUCCCUCUGUUCCCCCACUACGGGCUCCCUUUCAGACUAUGUCUUGCUUCAGCGAAUUCUUACUGCUUUUUCAGCAGUUUUAGCAUGGCCACAACACCUACUCACACCAGUCUUUCAAACCCUGGCCACCUUAACUAAUCAGUCUAAUUGCUGGUUAUGUCAGCGUCUAAAUAACGCACCAGAAUCUGAACUAGGUUUCGUCCCUGCCAGUGCAAGCACCUGGUGGACCCAUUCUGGACAAUGGAUGUAUGGAAGGCUCUCUGCUUCCUCCUACGGCAGAGUGACUUGGCAUUGGGGAACCCCCAUGGAGGCUCGAGGUCUGUCCUUCAUUCAGGUGAGGGUAUUGGAGGGAAAAUUUUCUCUUUGCAUUGAAAAUAAAAACGGCACUGGACCCUUCCUAGGUAACAUACCAAAACAAUACUGUAAUCAAACAUUGUGGUUUGAUUCCACAGAUGACACCUUCAGAUCCUCCAAAGAUGUUAUAAAUGAGUUCCAGACUGAUUAUUAUAAUGAUACAAAUGUUUGCCUAGUCACUGGACAGUAUUCCUGGUCUGCAGGCCACAAAAAUAGGACCUGGAACCGCCCAGCUGUUCCCCUGGUUGGUCUGCCCGAUACCCCAGGCCACAAAUGGGUCGACCAGAAUUCUGGAAUGACCUGGUCAGGUAAUGACACCUUUCUCGAUAGCUGCCAAAACCAGACUGAAGGUCUCCUCUUACCAGAUAUUUCGCAGCCUGUUUUGCUCUUACAGCCUGACAGAGGCACAUGGGAAAUGGAGAUAUACAGUUGCCAACAUAACUAACGACAAAGACCACCAUGGACACCGAACUCCAACCUGGUGGGUCACAGGUUCCACUCUGACCUUGUUUGUGAACACCUCUGGUCUGUUUAUUUUAUGUGGCAAUAAGAAUAAGAUAUAUAAAGGGUUCCCACCUAAGUGGUCAGGGCGAUGUGGACUUGGCCACCUGGCACCUUCCCUCCCUAGUUAUCCCCCUUCACAUGCUAGCCGGGUUACAGACCUGGGCUCCUUCAGGCAUAAAGUAGCACCGCGUAGACGCAUCCAGCCAGACAGUGUCGGCAAGCCACUCAUGUAUCGCAGUACUGAUUCAGUAAGGACCCUUUUUCCAAGCUUGAAAACUUCUGAUCUAGAAGAAGCAAUUCUGAACAUUUCCAAAGGCAAGGAACAAGGAUUCACUGGCACCCCGCAGACCUUGAAAGCACGUCCGUCAGGGGUUAGCAGUUUCGCCUCUGUGCUCUGAAAUCGCCGUCUCCUGCCUACACAGGCUGCCCAGCAGGGAGCACAGUGUGCCGUCAUUGGCCGAUGGUGCUGCUUGUGUGUAAAUAAAUGAAGUACAGGAUAGUUUGAACCGUAUAAAAGAACGGUCGACAUCCUACGUAAAAUGAGUGAAGCACCGUUGAUUAAUUGGACUGACCUCGAGAAUAAGAGACUGGUUCAGUGAAAGAUGGGGCUAUGUGUUGGGAUUUGCUCUUUUAUGCGUAUUCAUCCUCGUUAUCUGUUUUUGUUUGCAGAUCUCUUACCUCCCGACUUCUAAUCCACGUCUCCCCACAGCAAUCUCCCCAGCUCCUUGCCUAUGAAACUUCAUGACAGGUUAUAACAGGGAAAUGAAGGGACUAACCUCACCAAAAUGGCAUAAUGACUAUUGAAACUGAGACCAUCUGAACAAACAGCAGCUGCUGGAAAAAAAAAAAAGAAAAACACCAAAAAAACAACAAAUUUUCUCUGAACUUCCCUUUGAUAAGUAAAGCAGGUCUUUCUAAGUAUUCAGCUGCCAUAAGCCCUCUCUGGCAUCAGGACCUGCCAAGGAACUGUGUAAAUACAUCCUGUGAGAACCUUCCAUACUUUCCCACUGAGGCCUUAAUACCUUUCCCCACCCCCAUCCUAUUAAGCUGGUAUAUAAAUCCUUACUCCUUACAGCAUGCUCUUGCCUACAUGUAUAAUAAUCUUUGCUCCUAUUAAUCUGUCUGUUAAUUCACAGGCCCCCAAGUACUUCAACCUAAGUUGGUAAAGAAAAAGUUUUCGUCCCAGUAACACUUUUUAGACUUUUCUGGAUACACCGGAGAAUGUGUUCAAAUACAUAAGGGAAUUUGGAAACCUUGAUUUUGUUGGAAGGUGAAAGAAUCCAGUGUACAUGUACACGGGCUCUGUGGAAAUCCUUUUAAAUUUGUCUCAAACAGUGUGUUUAAUAACUGACUGAAAACUUUCUCUUUAUUUCCCUUAGGGAGAAAGCUGUUGACCACUUAAUCUGGGAUGAUCUGCUGUACUCUCCUGAUUUCCCGUGAGCAUUUAAUCUAUGGUCUAAAGGGUCGUUUGUCUGGUAUGAGUUGUAGCUGUCUUAUGAUUAUGGGCAGCAGCAGCGAGGGGGGCUGUAGGGACCAAGUGGAGGUAGCAUUUAUCGUAUUGCACGUGUCACUCCAUUGCUCCUGUCCUUACAUUAUUCCGUUUAAUUCUCACACAGUGUUCUUCCCGUUUUACAGAUGAAUAAAUUGGAAGGGUAGAUAACUUGCUAAAGAUUAUACCAUUACUGGGACUUCCUGGUGGUCCAGUGGUUAAGACUCUGCACUCCCAAUGCAGGGGGCAUGGGUUCAAUCCCUGGUUAGGGAACUAAGAUCCCAUGUGCCGUGCAGCGCAGCCAAAAAAAAAAAAAAAAAGACUAUACCAUUACUGAAAAUAAGAGCAAGAUGCAGAACUGGUAGCUAGUGUGCAACCUUUCAUAGAGCAGAGGAAAGAGGAAAAAAUACACAGCCAUUCCUCGGAGAUAUUGUGGGUUUGGUUCCAGACCACUGCAGUAAAGGGAGUCGCACAAAUUUUUUGGUUUCUCUGUGCAAAUAAAAGUUAUGUUUACACUAUACUGUAGUUUAUUAAGUAUGCAGUAGCAACAUGUCUAAAAAACAAUGCACAUCCCUUUAUUAAAAAUAGUUUCUUGCUAGAAAAUGCUAACCAUCACCUGAGCCUUCAUCAAGUCAAUCUUUUUUGCAAUAGUGACUUCACAGAUCACCAUAAGAAAUAUAAUAAUAAUAAUGAAAAAGUUUGAAAUAUUGCGAGAGUUGCCAAAAUGUGACACAGAUGCAAAGUGAGCAAAUGCUGUUGGAAAAAUGGAACCAACAGACUUGCUCCACACAGGGUUGCCACAAACUGUCAAUUUGUAAAAUAUGCAGUAUCUGCAAAGUGCAAUAAAGUGAAGCAAUAAAACGAGGUAUGCCUGUAUGUAUACAUACAUAUAGUUACUCAGCUUUGCAAAAAGACAACUGAAAGUUGAAUAUAAACGAACUAAUGAACAUUAUAGCAAAUUGACAACUUCACAUAGAGAAAAUUAUUUCAAAAGUUAUUUCAAGCUAUGCCAAAAAAUGAACAGUAUUCUGGGUACAUCCUUAGAGGUGGGUUUAUUGUUCAUAGUGAUAUUGGUAUCAAAAGAAGAUAAAAUAUGAAAACUGUUCCAGUGGUACAGGGCAUAGUAAGAGGGGAACUCAUGAGCAGAAGUCCUCUAUCUGUUCCUUUCCUGUGUGUGUUAAGCAAACAGUAGUUAAACUCUUGCACUGAAACUAGAGAAACCAUUAAAAGAUGAGCAUUCAGCUUUCAGUAUUGGGUAUUUUGUGGUACCUGGAUAGAUGAGGGUCAUGGGAUGCUGAAAUAGAGUGGCAGGAGUGUUCUAAGCAAUUGGGGGAAGUGAUAGGAAAAGAAAUCUAGAUUCUUGACACAAUCUCAAUUUUCUUCUGUAAAAUGGAGAAAAACAGUAAAGGGUAGGUAGGCCACCACUGCUUUCUCGGUGGCCUUUUUGACAAAAACAAUGAUAUAAAGUUUAUUGUUAACGAAUUUCCUUUCAGGAGACGUUUGAUAGCUACUGACCCUUGGAAUUCAGUGCUCAAGGGUCACUUUUAAAGAGGUUUGAGACAGACUAGAUUAUAAACUUAUUUGUAUACCUAUUGUCUGUUCCCUGGUAGAAUGUAAGCUUCACAAGGACAGGCAUAUUUGUUGAAUCACAAUGAAGAGGGUUGUGGUGAGGAUUGAGUAAUGCAUGUAAAGCUGACCUUGGGCAUUGCUUAACUAAAUGUAAGAUAGAGUUCACUUAGAGCCAAUAUGAGUAGCAGGUUUGAAUUUUGGCAUUGGUUGUUGUCAGAUGUAAAUUUCCAAAAACUUAUGAAUAAAGUUGAUUAUAUGCCAUUUUGGAGUUCUGAUCAUGGCUUACUUUGUUUCCCUUUUCAAGUAUUCGGGUACAUUAGAAACCUUAUGCAUAUAUGCAAAUCUACUUAUUCAGCCCUUAUUUCACACCAUUGAGUUCUAACAAAGUUAGGAGGAAAAGUUGUGAAAUGAGAGUGUAGUAAUUGGAAUGUUAGAAAAUGUCUAUUGGAAGGAUAAGGUCUUAUUCUGUCAACUGGCAUGAGUGAUUUGGAGGUGUGUUUAGCCACACAAUAUUGGGUUAAAGGAUAUGCACCUUUUCUGCUUCCUUAUGUAAAGUUUGUAGGGCAUGAAAAGUUAUAGAAAAUAGUUUCAAAAUUAUUAAUGGACACAUUUUUGAUACUUGGAUCUUAAGUUAUUUUGUAGGACAGAUACUCUCUUUCCAUCAUUUUGUAAGAGAUAGAGCACAAGGUACAUGGGUUGGCAAGAGUUUAUUAGCCAACUGAAAAGCCUCAGAUGUUUUUAACACUUCUUUGAAUUAUUUAUCAACAUUUACCAAGACUCAAUGAAAGAUGCCAGAAAGCAGGGGCCAUUGUAAUCAAUUCUGUUAGAAUUAGGAGUAAUCCUUUGAAUGAUAUUUGUUACGAUGAUAAAUGAUUUGAACACCUUAAUCUACAAGUAGAAUUAAUAUGGGAGACAGCUUCAAGAAGCACUUGAAUUGUGUUCCACCAGACUACCAAAUAGGGGAGACUUAUCAAGGCAAAAACUGCAAGGUUACAGUUGUUACAUAACUUGUUUAUGAAGAAUUAUAAUGGGAGCUGGCAGGAAGUAAGGGUGCUUGUUAAAUAAGGAUUGAUUGGGGUCUGAAAUGGUUGCUUGG
Molecule: long non-coding RNA, 6089 nt
Organism: Balaenoptera ricei (Rice's whale)
Lineage: Eukaryota; Metazoa; Chordata; Mammalia; Artiodactyla; Balaenopteridae
Exons: 3
Source: RefSeq, a predicted model, not a curated record